Epinephelus moara (kelp grouper) is the source of this 979-nucleotide long non-coding RNA. RefSeq lists it as uncharacterized. NCBI's taxonomy places the organism in Eukaryota, Metazoa, Chordata, Actinopteri, Perciformes, Serranidae. The record is from RefSeq and is a predicted model, not a curated record. The transcript is spliced from 2 exons.
CAUUGAAGUCUUUACAAUAUAUCCCCUGAAUGAAGUAUAAAUGGAUGAAAGCAGUUUUGGAUACUUAACGAUCAUUUGUCUCCAUUUUACAGUUUAUAGCUCCCUGCCCCACAUCCCAUUUCAUUUAUUUUAUUUCACCUAUAGGGAUAAUGUUGACCUAAGCCAUCAUCCUUACACCUCAGCAUUAUUGGUUAUAACAUAGCGGAGAGCAGAAAUGAUUUGCCACUGUAGUGUGAGGCAGAGGAAAGGUGGGGAUCUGAUGGCUGUUUAUUGCUCAGGCUCUAAACAAAGAGCCCUGGUAGCCUGCGUGUGAUCAAUCUUUCUCGCCAAAAGGUCUGACAGCUCCCUGCCCUAAGAACACAUUUAAACCAUCUAACACUCCCUUAGAUCAUAUAUGGCCAGGAAGAGGACAGCCACUCUCUAGGUGAGCUGUAGGAGAAGUUUUCAAUUUAGAAAUGUAGGGAUUUCUUAUAGAGGCGCGGAUGAGACGCACGGCCAUUACGCACAAAUCUUUUCUUUUUUUUGCUCACUCGCUCGAUAAUGAAUCAAAAAUCCAUCUAAAGGCGAAACUCUGUCGCUUUUUCGUUUCCAAAAGGGACUUUACAGACACAAAGAAAACGCAGAGGAGAGGAGAGGACUUGGUUAGUGGUAUAGAAACGAACGGAGCAGCUUUUACAUAGGAUCAAUUGUUUGCUGAGCUGUGCAGACAUAAAGCCGCAUUUUGCAACUUGCUGCAGGGAUGCAGACAGAGGACGGUGUCUGGAGGAGCUGUGAGGAGGAGCUGCGCGUUUCCCGUCUGUUCUGAGACAACAAGAGACAUCUGGGGAGCAAGCAGGCCAAACCUGCCACCACUGUUGUUUUCUGUUAAAAAAAAAAAAAAUUCAAUCAGCUUACAGCCUAAACUGUGGAAUUAUCUCCAUUUGUAGUGAGUGUGACUCAAAUGUUUAACCGGACUUUAAAAUAAAUAAUUGCACAAUUA